UCCUAAGGUAGCGAAAUUCCUUGUCGGGUAAGUUCCGACCUGCACGAAUGGCGUAAUGAUGGCCAGGCUGUCUCCACCCGAGACUCAGUGAAAUUGAACUCGCUGUGAAGAUGCAGUGUACCCGCGGCAAGACGGAAAGACCCCGUGAACCUUUACUAUAGCUUGACACUGAACAUUGAGCCUUGAUGUGUAGGAUAGGUGGGAGGCUUUGAAGUGUGGACGCCAGUCUGCAUGGAGCCGGCCUUGAAAUACCACCCUUUAAUGUUUGAUGUUCUAACGUGGACCCGUGAUCCGGGUUGCGGACAGUGUCUGGUGGGUAGUUUGACUGGGGCGGUCUCCUCCUAAAGAGUAACGGAGGAGCACGAAGGUUGGCUAAUCCUGGUCGGACAUCAGGAGGUUAGUGCAAUGGCAUAAGCCAGCUUGACUGCGAGCGUGACGGCGCGAGCAGGUGCGAAAGCAGGUCAUAGUGAUCCGGUGGUUCUGAAUGGAAGGGCCAUCGCUCAACGGAUAAAAGGUACUCCGGGGAUAACAGGCUGAUACCGCCCAAGAGUUCAUAUCGACGGCGGUGUUUGGCACCUCGAUGUCGGCUCAUCACAUCCUGGGGCUGAAGUAGGUCCCAAGGGUAUGGCUGUUCGCCAUUUAAAGUGGUACGCGAGCUGGGGUUUAGAACGUCGUGAGACAGUUCGGUCCCUAUCUGCCGUGGGCGCUGGAGAACUGAGGGGGGCUGCUCCUAGUACGAGAGGACCGGAGUGGACGCAUCACUGGUGUUCGGGUUGUCAUGCCAAUGGCACUGCCCGGUAGCUAAAUGCGGAAGAGAUAAGUGCUGAAAGCAUCUAAGCACGAAACUUGCCCCGAGAUGAGUUCUCCCUGAGACUUUAGGUCUCCUGAAGGAACGUUGAAGACGACGACGUUGAUAGGCCGGGUGUGUAAGCGCAGCGAUGCGUUGAGCUAACCGGUACUAAUGAACCGUGAGGCUUAACCUUACAACGCCGAAG
This 995-nucleotide ribosomal RNA is filed under the name Salmonella enterica subsp. enterica serovar Panama str. SA20030878. Its description in RNAcentral is "bacterial LSU rRNA". It matches the Rfam family "Bacterial large subunit ribosomal RNA", at positions 1949 to 2925 of the family's 2925-position model. Lineage: Bacteria; Pseudomonadati; Pseudomonadota; Gammaproteobacteria; Enterobacterales; Enterobacteriaceae. The record is from RNAcentral.